AUUGAACGCUGGCGGCAGGCCUAACACAUGCAAGUCGAACGGUAACAGGAAGCAGCUUGCUGCUUUGCUGACGAGUGGCGGACGGGUGAGUAAUGUCUGGGAAACUGCCUGAUGGAGGGGGAUAACUACUGUAAACGGUAGCUAAUACCGCAUAACGUCGCAAGACCAAAGAGGGGGACCUUCGGGCCUCUUGCCAUCGGAUGUGCCCAGAUGGGAUUAGCUAGUAGGUGGGGUAACGGCUCACCUAGGCGACGAUCCCUAGCUGGUCUGAGAGGAUGAACAGCCACACUGGAACUGAGACACGGUCCAGACUCCUACGGGAGGCAGCAGUGGGGAAUAUUGCACAAUGGGCGCAAGCCUGAUGCAGCCAUGCCGCGUGUAUGAAGAAGGCCUUCGGGUUGUAAAGUACUUUCAGCGGGGAGGAAGGGAGUAAAGUUAAUACCUUUGCUCAUUGACGUUACCCGCAGAAGAAGCACCGGCUAACUCCGUG
This 490-nucleotide ribosomal RNA is filed under the name uncultured bacterium. Its description in RNAcentral is "partial 16S ribosomal RNA". It matches the Rfam family "Bacterial small subunit ribosomal RNA", at positions 30 to 507 of the family's 1533-position model. The record is from RNAcentral.